GUAAAGCUAAGCCCUGGGUUUCCGUGUCCAAUGUUUGACCGUCCGUCUUAUUUAAAAAAAAUUAAAAAGACAAGUCACGCAUAAAGUAUUAAUCAUGUUUUAUUAUCUAACAACAAUGAAAAGACUAAUUAUAAAAAAAUUUCAUAUAAGACGGACAGUCAAACGUUGGACACGUAAAUCUAGGGUUUGUCUUUUU
Oryza sativa Japonica Group (Japanese rice) is the source of this 196-nucleotide microRNA precursor. It matches the Rfam family "MIR812 microRNA precursor family". Lineage: Eukaryota; Viridiplantae; Streptophyta; Magnoliopsida; Poales; Poaceae. The record is from Rfam.